ACACUGUUCAAAUUAAAUAGACAACAGAAGAAAAUCACGUGAUUCUUGCGGACGCGUUGGCUUGACAACUGUAAUCUUUACCUGGUGCUGAAGCGAGCACUCAGAGGACACCAUGCCAGAGGUCAAAUCAAUAUUCAGAGAAGUUCUGCCUAAACAAGGACAGCUCUCCAUGGAAGAUGUCCCUACUAUGGUUUUGUGUAAGCCAAAGCUGCUCCCACUCAAAUCAGUCACCCUUGAGAAACUGGAGAAAAUGCAAAUGGAGGCUCAAGAGGCUGUUAAACAACAGGAACUGGCAAUGAAGGAGCAACUACAGUAGAUACCCAGUGAAGGAUUGGAAAAAAACAAAUGCCUAAACUGGCAAAAGUCCUUCAGAUGGAUCAAGCAAACACACUGAUUCCAAGCACUGGAAUGUAUUUGUAUGGACUUGGAGGGAAUCUGGCGUUACAGAGUUAAAAAAAAAAAAAGUGUUUAAUCCCUCUUUGUCCCUUUUGAAAGUCUUGCUGUUCUGUGGUUAUUGUUGAAUGAUCUAUAGCAUGGAAUUAGCAAAGAUUAUAUCUGUUACUUGCCAGUAGGGGUAGUGAGCUACUUAGGUACUACUUUAAAGUGUUAUAUUAUUAUUAUUAUUAUUAUUAUUAUUAUAUCUUUCAGAUAACUGCUUAUUUAAGUUGCAGUAUGCAGUUAGUACUGUGUGUUAAACAGACAAAAACAGAUGAAAUGAUUUCAUAGUGAUUUAAUCAACAAUCAAGGAACGUCAGGGUGUCUCUCACACUCCUUAUUCCCCAAAUAUAAAAAUAAACACUCUUAACACA
Molecule: long non-coding RNA, 809 nt
Organism: Haplochromis burtoni (Burton's mouthbrooder)
Lineage: Eukaryota; Metazoa; Chordata; Actinopteri; Cichliformes; Cichlidae
Exons: 3
Source: RefSeq, a predicted model, not a curated record